UACGUAGGGUGCGAGCGUUAAUCGGAAUUACUGGGCGUAAAGCGUGCGCAGGCGGUUCGUUGUGUCCGAUGUGAAAGCCCCGGGCUUAACCUGGGAAUGGCAUUGGAAACUGGCGGGCUUGAGUGCGGCAGAGGGGGGUGGAAUUCCGCGUGUAGCAGUGAAAUGCGUAGAGAUGCGGAGGAACACCGAUGGCGAAGGCAGCCCCCUGGGUCGACACUGACGCUCAGGCACGAAAGCGUGGGGAGCAAACAGG
This 253-nucleotide ribosomal RNA is filed under the name uncultured bacterium. RNAcentral's name for it is "partial 16S ribosomal RNA". It matches the Rfam family "Bacterial small subunit ribosomal RNA", at positions 524 to 776 of the family's 1533-position model. The record is from RNAcentral.